Molecule: long non-coding RNA, 1082 nt
Filed under: Dermacentor andersoni
Lineage: Eukaryota; Metazoa; Arthropoda; Arachnida; Ixodida; Ixodidae
Description: uncharacterized LOC126530792
Source: RNAcentral
UGAAUUGACAUAACCAGAGUGAAUAUUGAGAAAGUGGUUCUGCAAGACUCGAGUUGGUUACUGUUUCACGACGACCAUGUACCUUGACUAAUUUGCUCCUGCACAGAACAAAUAUAAUCAUUGCGAUUCAGGCGACAAUGAGUUUACAGUGAUAUUUAUUUUCAAUUAGAGUUCAGCAGUAAAGAGAAGUUGUUGGGCCUUAGCACACUUGAUAUGGCUGGUGCAUGUACGCUCUGCGGACGGCCAUUGCCGCGUAAGAGUAAAAUGCGUCGAAUUGAACACUUUCGCUGGCUUCCGUAACAUUAUUCCAACAUUUACAAAAGAAUAUGUCUAAUCUGAAUUUCGAACACAUACCAAUUAUAUUGAUCUAGUAGAGCUUGUAGCAGUAAAUGCACGGCUAUCUCCUGCCUUCAAGUCGCAUUUCUUAUGUGGACGGUGAAUGAAUUGUUCCUACAAAACGAAGAUAACACACUUAUAAGUGUAAGGGCUUCGUGGUUUGGCAGGUCCCAAUUUUUGUUCUGAGGUAAUGCGGCGUUAAAUUUCCACAGUAUUUAAGAUUGCCGGCCCUGAGAACAAAUUUGGGUUUCGGUUAUUUCUUUACGAGCUGUGAUUCUCAGGUUCCCGUGUAUGGGGCUAAUAUAGACAGGCGCCACUUGGUGUUAGAUCCUUGGACUACCGAGCCGUGCAACUGAACUUCGCAUAUCUGGUUUGUCUAUUGCAUGUGCGCAGGACGACUCGCAGAUGAUUCCUCGAAAGCCAACGACCCGUGGCGAUCGCGGGACCGUGCUGCAACUGUUGGACCAGAAAGAAAGAAAGAGAAAAAAGAAACCCGACCGGCCUCCGUAAAUCAAUGCUCUCCGACCACCCAUGUACAUCCUCCGCAACGGACAGGAACUUGGCAGCCAUCUUACAGGGUUGGAGAAACAGCUUCUGCCUGAAAAGUAAACGCCGGCAAUGUGACGUUUUCACGGAACAAAAAGAACUUCGGAUCAAGAGCUCAAGCGGCGUUGCUGUUCAUUUCGGCAACAAGGCCACUACAAUGUCACGAAGGUAAACACAAAUAAAAAUAUUGAUUGGCGAAA